UACGUAGGCAGCAAGCGUUGUUCGGAGUUACUGGGCGUAAAGGGUGUGUAGGCGGUUCUUUAAGUUUGGUGUGAAAUCUCCCGGCUCAACCGGGAGGGUGCGCCGAAUACUGAGGGACUAGAGUGCGGGAGAGGAAAGUGGAAUUCCUGGUGUAGCGGUGAAAUGCGUAGAUAUCAGGAGGAACACCGGUGGUGUAGACGGCUUUCUGGACCGUAACUGACGCUGAUACACGAAAGCGUGGGUAGCAAACAGG
Molecule: ribosomal RNA, 253 nt
Filed under: uncultured bacterium
Lineage: Bacteria
Description: partial 16S ribosomal RNA
Rfam family: Bacterial small subunit ribosomal RNA
Source: RNAcentral